CUCGCACUUCUGGAUAAGCCUGGGAAACUGGGUCUAAUACCGGAUAGGACCACAUUUUGGAUGGUGUGGUGGAAAGUUUUUCGGUGUGGGAUGAGCUCGCGGCCUAUCAGCUUGUUGGUGGGGUAAUGGCCUACCAAGGCGUCGACGGGUAGCCGGCCUGAGAGGGUGUACGGCCACAUUGGGACUGAGAUACGGCCCAG
RNAcentral lists this ribosomal RNA (200 nucleotides) under uncultured Actinomycetales bacterium. RNAcentral's name for it is "partial 16S ribosomal RNA". It matches the Rfam family "Bacterial small subunit ribosomal RNA", at positions 130 to 334 of the family's 1533-position model. Lineage: Bacteria; Bacillati; Actinomycetota; Actinomycetes; Actinomycetales. The record is from RNAcentral.